Grammomys surdaster is the source of this 366-nucleotide non-coding RNA. The record is from the annotation of a RefSeq genome assembly. Lineage: Eukaryota; Metazoa; Chordata; Mammalia; Rodentia; Muridae.
AUGGAGUCACAGGCCCAGGUCCUCCUGUUGCUGCUGCUCUGUGUGUCUGGUAUCUGUCAGGACAUUGUGGUAACCCAGUCUCCAUCCUCCCUGGCUGUGUCAGCAGGAGAGAAUGUCUAUAUAGCUGCAAAUCUUUUAUGGAGUGUAAAUCAGAAGAACCACUUGGCCUGGUACCAGCAGAAACCAGGGAUGUCUCCUAAACUGCUGAUCUACUAUGCAUCCACUAGGGAAUCUGGGGUCCCUGACUGCUUCAUGGGCAGUGGAUCUGGGAUGGAUUUCACUCUCACCAUCAGCAGUGUGCAGGAUGAAGACCUGGCACUUUAUUUCUAUCAGCAGCAUUAUAACUCUUCUCCCAUAGUGCUUUAG